Molecule: long non-coding RNA, 237 nt
Filed under: Lathyrus oleraceus (garden pea)
Lineage: Eukaryota; Viridiplantae; Streptophyta; Magnoliopsida; Fabales; Fabaceae
Description: Pisum sativum (pea) long non-coding RNA (PSAT_LNC028911)
Source: RNAcentral
AAGUUGUCUCAUGGCAACUUAUAAGAAAUAACACUCAAGUGAGCAUUCAAAAGAAAUAAAAAUAAAGGAAAUGAAAAGAAAUGCAGAAUUGCAAAAUAAAAAAUAAAAUAAAUUACAAACAAAACAAUCUUAAAUUGAAGAGAAUGUAAAGGGUGGUUGGAAUCCAUCUAUGUCCGCCCCUGAACAUGUUUUCCCCCGCGGCGUGGGUGUUACAAGACUUUCAGAAAAUAGGAUCCG